This 594-nucleotide ribosomal RNA is filed under the name uncultured Bacteroidota bacterium. RNAcentral describes it as "bacterial SSU rRNA". It matches the Rfam family "Bacterial small subunit ribosomal RNA", at positions 334 to 929 of the family's 1533-position model. The record is from RNAcentral. Lineage: Bacteria; Pseudomonadati; Bacteroidota.
UACUCCUACGGGAGGCAGCAGUAGGGAAUAUUGGACAAUGGGGGCAACCCUGAUCCAGCCAUGCCGCGUGCAGGAAGACGGUCCUCUGGAUUGUAAACUGCUUUUAUCGGGGAAUAAGCCUGGUCUAUACGGCCAGCUGAAGGUACCCGAAGAAUAAGCACCGGCUAACUCCGUGCCAGCAGCCGCGGUAAUACGGAGGGUGCAAGCGUUGUCCGGAUUUAUUGGGUUUAAAGGGUACGCAGGCGGGUUUUCAAGUCAGUGGUGAAAUCCUACGGCUCAACCGUAGAACUGCCAUUGAUACUGUUGACCUUGAGUAUAUCUGAGGUGGUUGGAAUGUGUAGUGUAGCGGUGAAAUGCAUAGAGAUUACGCAGAACACCGAUUGCGAAGGCAGAUCACUAAGGUAUAACUGACGCUGAGGUACGAAAGCGUGGGGAGCGAACAGGAUUAGAUACCCUGGUAGUCCACGCUGUAAACGAUGGUUACUAGGUGUUCGGAAGCAAUUCUGAGUGCCCAAGCGAAAGCGAUAAGUAACCCACUUGGGGAGUACGUCCGCAAGGAUGAAACUCAAAGGAAUUGACGGAAUCACGAAUUCU